UGUAACUACUCAAGUAACUUGACAAGUGACUGAUUAUUUGCAACGUGCCGCUGCACCGUAACAAUAGACCGACUAUGUAACUACCUACUUAGGUAACUUGACAAGUGACUGAUUAUUUGCAACGUGCCGCUGCACCGCAACAAUAGACCGACUAUGUAACUACCUACUUAGGUAAUUAAGUAACUACCAUAUGUAACUACUUAAGUAAUUGGUCAUGUGAUUCGCUAUAUAUGUAACUACUUAAGUAACUAGCAAUAUAACUAGCAAUGCAACUAUCUAUGUAUUUGGCAACGUAACUAGCAAUUUGUUUAGUCUCGCUCUGGUACUAUUCUUCAGAACCUUUUUCUUCCUCUUUGGCAUUUCUUCUCCUUAUGUCCUUACUUAGAGAUGGGAACACAUGCAUCAGCAUUCCUCUGGCAUUUCUUCUCCUUAUGUCCUUACUUAGAGAUGGGAACACAUGCAUUAGCAUGGUCGGGAGGAUACAAAAAACAAAACAUAUGAUGAGAAGAGCAUCUCUGCAAGGAUCAAGAAAUGAGUUAGCUAAUAGUUCAUAUCAACAAGGACAUUAAAUUUCUGAACACCAAGUACAUGAACUACAAACUUAAUAUCAUCAUUCCAUAAACUUCAUGAUCCCAAUUCACAACGAGAAAAUGGAACUAACACAAACAACAUCACAGAAUUGUGUUCCUGAGCAGUAUGCAGAUUUACCUUGAUUGAGAACAAUACAACCGUUGGAUCGCUAUGAUUUUCAAUCAAAGAAUAGAGACAUGAUUUUGAACAACUUUUGUGAAGAAGCUGUUCUGGAAUAAAUCAUAGAAGUGGAACUUUUGAGCUGUUGAAGUUGAUUGGCGGGAAUGACUUCCAGCAGAAGUUUUCAGCUUACAACUCUCUCUCUCAAUUCAAGUUGAUGGACCAGAGAUUCAUCAGAGCUCCCUCAAAACUCAAGAGCUUAAAGACUAGAUUAAAACUUUACACUUCGAAAUCACCAGGAAGAACAACCAUGAAAUCCAAAACAAACAGGGUACCAAAAAAAUCCCAAUACUAGAAGCAAUUCAGUUAACUCUAAUCCAACCCCAUCAAAUUCACAAACCAAGUUCGAAUUUUUAUCACUCAAUUUUACAAAACCAAGCCGACCCUAAGCACAAACAUCCAAGCAAAACGAAAAUCAAAGAUUAAAUCCCACAAAACCCAAAUAACAUAAAUAAGCAAAUCCACUAAUUCUCAACACAAAACGCAAAAAAUUCAAGCUAAAGCAACACAGUCACAUACCAAUUCGAAGCGCUUCACCUCGGCCGAAACCGUCUUGGAGACGCAAACCUCUCCGAAACCGGGUCCAUGUUCUUAAACUCCUUGUGGUUUCAAGACUAGAGCUCACCUUCACCGGAUCUAUCGCCUACCUCCAGUCCAUUUUUACCGGAUCCAUCGAAUUCCAACGUUGGAACGUUACCGAUUUCGACCAAUUCUUCGACAACAACCAGAUCUGAUUCUUCGACAACUCCGAGCCCAAUCACAUCCUUCUUCUUCGCCGCCAACAACUUGGCCAGGAUGAAGACUAUGGUCCUCACGUUUGGUCUAGAUGCAGGAGAGAGAGAGAGAGAGACGACGAAAUUAACUGAGAGAGAGACGACGAAACUCAGAAUGAAUAAAAAACAUCUGAUAUUAGAGAGAAGGGUACAAUGGUCAUGUAAAAAUGUGAAAAUAGACAUUUUUAUCAUUUAAGAUGUUAUGAGGUGACUAUUUUAUCAUGUAACAUGUUUUAAUGAUGACCUUUUUAUCAAGUGGAACAUUUGAAGACUAUUUUAUCAUUUGUACCUUUAAAUGGUAGUUUAGUAUUAUAUUCUCUUUUUUCUUUUCUUCCUUCACAAACAAAAAUAUCAUACGUCAAAUGAAAAGUCAUUAACAGCUUUACUAGAUAGACGCAUGAAACCUAGUUUAUGUACGCCUGAUAAAUCUACGAGCAAUCUAUAGUAUGAUUUCUGAUUUCUAGUUUGUAUAAAAAGAGGUUCAUAUCGAUGUGUAGCUAUUCUAUU
This 2030-nucleotide long non-coding RNA is filed under the name Fragaria vesca (wild strawberry). RNAcentral's name for it is "long non-coding RNA (FVES_LNC002029)". Lineage: Eukaryota; Viridiplantae; Streptophyta; Magnoliopsida; Rosales; Rosaceae. The record is from RNAcentral.